UACGGAGGAUGCGAGCGUUAUCCGGACUUAUUGGGUUUAAAGGGUGCGCAGGCGGAUUUUUAAGUCAGCGGUCAAAUCGUGGGGCUCAACCCCAUCCAGCCGUUGAAACUGGGGAUCUAGAGUGUGCGAGAGGUAUGCGGAAUGCGUGGUGUAGCGGUGAAAUGCAUAGAUAUCACGCAGAACCCCGAUUGCGAAGGCAGCAUACCGGUGCACAACUGACGCUCAGGCACGAAAGCGUGGGUAUCGAACAGG
Molecule: ribosomal RNA, 252 nt
Filed under: uncultured bacterium
Lineage: Bacteria
Description: partial 16S ribosomal RNA
Rfam family: Bacterial small subunit ribosomal RNA
Source: RNAcentral